Molecule: long non-coding RNA, 213 nt
Filed under: Nicotiana benthamiana
Lineage: Eukaryota; Viridiplantae; Streptophyta; Magnoliopsida; Solanales; Solanaceae
Description: long non-coding RNA (NBEN_LNC033267)
Source: RNAcentral
CUGUCAAGGGUCAUGUCCUCGGACACCCGCAUUCUAGCCAUGUCAUGCCUAAUCACCUCUCCCCAAUACCUCUUAGGGCUCCCUCUGCCUCGCCGAACGCCGACAAUCGCCAUCCGCUCACAACUCCUCACCGGGGCAUCAGGACUUCUCCUCCGCACAUGCCCGAACCACCGUUUGAUCAUUAGUCACAAAAAUAACAAUAAAUUUCAUAAU